Molecule: ribosomal RNA, 431 nt
Filed under: uncultured bacterium
Lineage: Bacteria
Description: partial 16S ribosomal RNA
Rfam family: Bacterial small subunit ribosomal RNA
Source: RNAcentral
AACGAACGCUGGCGGCAGGCUUAACACAUGCAAGUCGAGCGCCCCGCAAGGGGAGCGGCAGCCGGGUGAGUACCGCGUGGGAACGUACCUUUUGGUUCGGAACAACUCCGUGAAACUGGCUCUAAUACCGGAUAAGCCCUAACGGGGAAAGAUUUAUCGCCGAAAGAUCGGCCCGCGUCUGAUUAGCUAGUUGGUGAGGUAACGGCUCACCAAGGCGACGAUCAGUAGCUGGUCUGAGAGGAUGAUCAGCCACACUGGGACUGAGACACGGACCAGACUCCUACGGGAGGCAGCAGUGGGGAAUAUUGGACAAUGGGCGAAAGCCUAAUCCAGCCAUGCCGCGUGAGUGAUGAAGGUCUUAGGGUUGUAAAGCUCUUUUGUCCGGGAAGAUAAUGACUGUACCGGAAGAAUAAGCCCCGGCUAACUUCGUG